Molecule: long non-coding RNA, 3758 nt
Organism: Aegilops tauschii subsp. strangulata
Lineage: Eukaryota; Viridiplantae; Streptophyta; Magnoliopsida; Poales; Poaceae
Source: RefSeq, a predicted model, not a curated record
CUCGUGUAUUGGGCCUUAGCGAGCUGGCAGCCCAUCGAAGGAGUGAGGCCUACGAACUACCAGGUCCAUCCGCUCCCGAAGCCCACCCGAUCCAGUCCCCACGAGACCGCAUCCAGUCGCCCUCCCGAUCCCGAUCGAAGCUCGCCCAAUCCUGAUCCCGAUCGAGGUCCACCCGCCCAAUCCAGCGACCGGAGGAGAGGAGCAGCCGGUGCGGUCGAUCCUGGUUCCAUCAAAUUGAAGACGGGUUGAGGGAUGGAUCGAGUCCAUCCGGUCGAUCCCUGCGACCGGAGGUGGGGCCGGCGCUGGCACGGUUUGGGGCCGGCGCGACGGUGGGCGCCCGCAAACUCUUGGCCUGCUUGAAACUGCUCUGCCCUCCUUCAAGCUUGCGAUCAUGGCCCUCCUCUGCUGGAAACUGCUCCUCUCUCCUUGAAGCUAGCAAUCAUAGCAUAUUAUUCAUUCGUUCAUGGCUGGUAAAUUUGCAAACCUUUCUUGUGCGCAGUGGUACUAUAUAAUGGUUCCCUCCCUGGCUUUGUAUGCACAACACGCUCUAGCAUCUACAUCUUCUUCGGCGAUAUGCUCAGGUGAUGUUCAUAUGCUAUGCGUCAAUUGAUUUGGCCAGAUUCUGCAGCUUUCCUACUGUCCAUUCUUGUGAUCAGCCGUUCAUCAUCUCUCAAAUGGCUUUUGGACAGGUGAAUUAGAAAAGUAGUAUUACAAUGGGCGAAAAACGUAACCAUUCUGUCGUAGAGGGAGACGAAGCCUCGACAUCUUCUGCCUGUACUAAUAAACGAGCAAAGUCCAUGUUUGUCUGCUUAAUCCAUAGCUCCAUGAAGGGCUAUGGGAUUGCGCAGAAUGUGAUAUUGGCGAGUUACCUACAUAUGCAGUGUGUCGAAACCCAGGUUCUCCCCCUUCUUCAUCCGGCAGUGACGCAGUAACAUCCAGGAGCUGUGCUUCUCCAGUAGUUUGUCCCUUCAUCUUCAACUUUGCUGCAUGUUUCCCUUCGCCACUACAGUCCCUUCGUACCCAAUAUUUGUGCUCUAAUAGGGCUCCUGCUAAUGCUGAUUUCUGCUCUUAAUUUGCUACAGUUAUUGACGCCCAAGUGCUCGGGACUGGUUCUGGCUUGUUUACCAAAUUUCUCUCGGUGUUUCUCUGUUUAUUUUUGUUCCUAAAUUCUGAAAACUGGGAUCCCAAUGGCUGCUGGCAGAAUAUCAAUCUGAUCGCAUCCUGGUGGCCUAACAGAAUGCUAUCAUGUGAUUUGGAGUUUGGACAGCAUUCUCACCAAACUUCAAGAGGUAACACUUCUUCAGGGUCUUGAAACCAAAGUUGUCAUUAUCCUCAUCAUAAACCAUGCAGUUGUCCAAACGAGCAGCUUCUUGAAUCAAACGCCAAUCAAUUAGAAGCAAUCUUUGACGUUGCAUUUUGGAAACUCUUAAUAAUAUCGGAGCAAAGAAAUCAUUACUGAAAAAUGACCAUAGGCAAAUAUAUGUAGUAACUGGAGAGAUGAUGUGGUAGAGCAGAAUUUGACUAGGUGUCAAGUUCAUUGGCUCUGGCCAUUUGAUCAGAUAUACUAAUAGAACCAUCUUAUAAUGCAUGUUAGCUAGAGGAGCACAUCCCUGCAUGGAGCAAAUUCACUCUAUAAAACUAAACUGAGAAGCUGCACUUGAACAGUAUCCUGAAGCUUAGAACUUUUGUGGUGUUGUUGCAAAGUAAUAAAUAAACUAAUGCUUUUUUAAUAUCAAGAACUAAACAUGUAUAGUUUUCAGAUGUUAGCAGUAUCCAUAGAGCUACAAGCCUAGAACACGGUGAAGUCUGCUUUCUUCCUCCUGGUCAUGCAAGCGUCCUGCUUCCCCGACCUCGACCUCAAAUGGUGGCGCCUCUCUGCGACCUCCACCACACACAACAGCGGCCACUGUGACUUGUCAACUUUGCACGAUAGGUUGAACUGGUGUCCCUGGCAUGCUGUCGUAGUGUCGUCCAAGUCUGUGUCAUGCUGGCCAUGCCUUUUUCCGCAGUACGUUGCCGCAAAAAGAAUCAGAUACAUAAAGUAUAUUACAUGAUGUUAACUGUGAGAUAAAUUUCUUGAUCUAAAUAAAGGCAGUUUGCUCAAUACGUUUGCUUUAAGAUUUGUAGAAUAAUUAUGUUGAAAGGCAUGAAUGUCUUUAUAUAGCUUUUUCAUCUAUAGGGCAAGAUGUUAUAGUUUCUAGAUAUUUACCUUACCUGCAGAAAUAAGCAUAUCUGAUUUUAAGAUUCAGCUUUCAGUGUACCCUAAAUUUGAAGAAUUUAUACAUUAGCAGUUCACAUUUGUGUUCUUGGAUUCACUUCGCUGCUAUAUGACUUCUUUUUUGUUUUCUCGACUAACCCCACUGUAAUCUGCAUUAUUUUUCUUAGGAAGGCGUGGACGAUGUCAUGGAAAGAGCACCCCAUAUCAAAGAGCUAAUAGAUAUGAAUAGCUGGCCUGAUGGUCGUUGCUGCAAACAACAACAAGAGGAGCUGCAAAGGGUUUCACCACACUUCCAGGAAACAUAUCCAAUUCAGCAUAGCAGUUUAUUGAUAAAUCUCUCUCUCUCUCUCCCUCUCUGUCUCUCCCUCCCUCCGUCUCUCUCCCUCCCUCCCUCACUAGCAUGUCGACUUUCUGUAUUUUAGACCUAUUUGCUUUGAAAAUAUGUACCAUGGGUUGCGAUCUACAUCAAGCGGCGUAUUUGAAAUACUCACAGUUUUCCAACAGUUGUAUUUUAUCUUAAAAUCUCCACAUGAUCAACUUAGCUAUCAUGUUCGCAUAUUUAUACAAAUUCUUACUAUUUUACAUUAAAAUAGACGGGCACGGCAACGCGCGCCAUCAACGAUCUAGUGAUGACAUAUAUGGGCCCACGUGGAAAGAAACGCGAGAACAUGAUGACACAAAAUAAACAAGACAAGAGGACGCGCGACAAAAAAAUGGCGAGCUCACAUGGACGCGCAUGUUUUGGUUUGUACGAACAUUAAGGCAAACAAAUCGGACAGUUAUAGACAUAUAUGAGCUAAAAAUUCAUCUAGAUUGGAUUUAGCAAAUCUGAAACAAAAAAUCUAGCUACAUGAUCAAAACAAAAAAACAGAAGAGGGAAUAAAAAGCCACAUGGCCCUAGAAAAAACUAAGCCCACAGAGAAAAACCAAUACACAAAACAUAAUAACGGCCCACUAAAAAGAAUAUUAUAUCAGGCCUUCAUUGCUUCACGAGGGACAAAUAGAAAACACGACGCAACGAUAACGAGCACGACCCAGAAACAUGUGUAUCUAACAAUAUAUGAGUUAGAUGAAACAUUGUUAACUCUCAUUUAGAUGAGAAUUACCAAACCAAUCCAAAACGAGACCCCAGACCGCAUGGCGAAAACGGCCCAACAAAAGAAGCAUGCACAAACAUGUCGACAAGUAGACACCAAUCACACGACGCGACAUAUAGCGCGCGUGACAAAAAUAACCCGUGAUCAAGAUUUGCACGACAUUCAAAGCGAACAUAUGACAGAGCGAAAACAAGUUCAUGAAUUUUAAACAAAAAAGAAAGAAAGAAAGGAAAAAGGUAAAAGGGAGAAAAGGAGAAAAAAAAUUAAAAACAAAAAAACCACGAAUUUAAAACUAGUUCAUAAUUGAAAGCAAAUAAUGAAAUACAAAACAAAAAUAAAAUAAAAUAAAACGGAAACAAACAAAAAACAAAUACUAAGAGUCAAGUGAAAGUGUACAAAAAUGAGAAGAACUAGAAUUGACUCGUUGCACAUACUUUUGAAAA